GGCAGGGAACAGUUGCGAGAACACACAGGGCAAAGGCUAGCAGCUGUAUUUUCCACUGGCGGACACUAUGGUGAAGGAAGUGAGCGUCAGGAGGCAGAGAGGCCAGGCCACGACCUUACUCUGUGCACAGCGGGAGCUUAUAGAAGGCGCUAGGGAGGGCACCCCAGGUCGGCUUUGUGUUUUAGGGGCCCUGCCCCUUCAGUAUGUCCUGGGGAGAACAAUGUGGGGUGGCUAUAGCAGCCUUGAAAGAGAUGGAAGGAGGAUUGGGGCAGAGGAGCAGAGAAAGCUGAAACAUCAGGGAUAUUUUAGGAGGUGAUAAAAGGUGAGGACAGGGAUGGUCCACGACAGAAUCCCCGGUGACUGCUGCAGAGUGAGAUGGGCACGGAGGCCAGCGAUGUGGGCAAUGGAAACACCAAGGCCAGAAAAAAGAGAAAGCGUUCAUGAGGAACGAGAACUAACACCGCAAGGAGCAGAAGCCUCAGCUCUGCCAAAACUGACCAGCAGGGAGGCGCAUCUGAGCUGGAGCCUGCCAAAGUGGAGCAAAGGGGUCUUGUGUCUCAUUGUGCAACUGAAGACAGUGACCUGUGGAUGAAAAACACACGGAGUCCGCCCGAGGAACUGGCCUGAGGUGUGGCUUGGACAUUGCAACUUUCAGCAUCUCCACAGCGGCGCAGAAUACCCAGGUAUGGCUGAGAACCAUUGCUCCAGGACAUGCCCAAGCAAUCACCAAGUCAGAAGGGUCUAUUGAAGGGCCAGAGGCACUCAGGUCUCAGAGACAUGUGCUCCCUUUGUAAGAGUCCCUGGGGUCAGGGGAGAAGAGCUCCCUGUCUGCUGCCUUGCUCUGACCCCGCCACCUCGCCCCUGGAAGGUCCUAAGGGUAUGCAGCUCCAUUCAAGAACCGUGCUUCGGGACCAGGGGCAGUGUGCUGGCCAGGGGACAUUUGCAAUGUCUGGAGAUGUUUGGUUGUCCUACUGGAGGAACAUGCUGCCGGCACCUAGUGACAGAGGCCAGGGUGCUGAUUAACACCCUGCAGUACGCAGGACAGCCCUACAAACAAAGAAGCAUCGGGCCAACACUUCAAUGUGCCGAAGGAGAAAUCAUGUUCUGUAAUGAGACCUCUCUUCUCUCCUUUAAACGUUUCACAUCUAAGCAAGGUACAGCUCACAGCAGCACAGCGGGCACCCAAACACAGCGCAAGUGUGUCCUUAUGGCCCUCAUUAAACUUCCUUGGAGAACCUGACUAGGAUUAGGGAAUGUUCUUCAACCUGUGGUAUCUCGGUUUGCUAUAAUCACAGGCUGAAAUCUUGAUGAGGUGGGCAACUUUGUUCCACCAUUCGUUCUCUGCCCUGAUGUUCGGCCUCCCCUCAGGCUCACAGCAGUGGGACAAAGCAACUAUGGAACAAAUUCUCUGAAACUGCGAGCCAAAAUAAAUCCUCUCUUCUCUUGUUUAUCUAAGAUAUUUUUGACUGUGACAGAAAACUUACUCAUAUAACUAGUAAUAAGGUGUACUACUAAGGUUAGUAAACAGAGGAGUAAACUUAAGAAAGGUCCCCCUAGAGGUUGACCUGUGGGUCUUGUUGGAAAUUCUGUGGCUCAUUGGGUGGCAGAGAAAGUUUGUAGGGUGCCACAGCUGAAGCAGAUGAACUCUAUAAACAGGCAUGGGGAUGCAUGCUUAUAAUUCCAGCACUCUGGAGGGCUGAGGUAGGAGGAUCCCAAAUUCAAACCCAGCUUGGGCAUCUAAGCAAGACCCUUUCUCAAAAUAAAAUUAAAAAAAAAUAGAAAAAGGUUGGAAAUGUAGCUUAGUGGAAAGGCUCUGACUUUAACCCCCUGUACCAAAAACCAAACAAUAUGGACUCCAUGCAGGUGGCAGUGGGACUUGACAGGAAGCUGUCCAGGAGUGCAGAGGGAUUUCCUGGGAACGGAGCCAGGGCCCCUGCAAACCUACUUGGAAGACGCCCAUGUGGGAAUGGCAAGUAACAUGCCGCUGAACUCCCCGAGAAGACAGCUGUGGAAGGCAUGGCUUUCUAGAGUGAGCUGUAUGCCCCCUAAAUUUAUGCGUUGAAGCUCUGUUCCCCAGCGUAGCUGUAUUUGGAGGAAAGAUGGAAUUACAACUAAAUGGGGUCAGAAGGGCUGAGCCCUGAAUUGGUAGCACUUAUCAAUGGCGACACUAUUCUAGAGGCCUCCUCUGACAAAGAUGAGCACCACGCACAGUCAGCAAAGGAGAACUGCUGAGAAGGCCAGCUCCAGUGCCACAAACAGGAUGCAGAAAGGGGCACGUGUGGGUUCAAGUCAAUAAAUUGAUGACUGACAUAUA
Chinchilla lanigera (long-tailed chinchilla) is the source of this 2314-nucleotide long non-coding RNA. RefSeq lists it as uncharacterized. The record is from RefSeq and is a predicted model, not a curated record. NCBI's taxonomy places the organism in Eukaryota, Metazoa, Chordata, Mammalia, Rodentia, Chinchillidae. The transcript has 3 exons.